Molecule: small RNA, 151 nt
Filed under: Paenibacillus sp.
Lineage: Bacteria; Bacillati; Bacillota; Bacilli; Caryophanales; Paenibacillaceae
Also listed under: 1 other name
Description: c-di-AMP sequence
Rfam family: c-di-AMP riboswitch aptamer (ydaO/yuaA leader)
About the family: This family represents a conserved RNA structure found upstream of the ydaO and yuaA genes in Bacillus subtilis and related genes in other bacteria. The ydaO/yuaA element is thought to act as a genetic "off" switch for the ydaO and yuaA genes in its native state.
Source: RNAcentral
UGAAUACAGAAGCCGAAUUUCUUUCCGAAAACGGGGGAACCAUUUGUAGUAGUAAGGGGUGAAUUCGAUUCCAUUCAUGAGAGUGGAAUUGAUAGGGUACCUGUAAACCCGAAUCCGUCAGCUAACCUCGUAGGCUUUAUGGCAGGAACCU